AGUAUUACACCUUGAUGAACAUAGGGAUAGAUUUUGAUGUUGAAGAGACAUAUCAGAAACUAAGCACGGAGUCAAAUAAUGUCCGUGUUAUUGGUAUUUGUGGGAUGAGCGGGAUUGGAAAAACUACAACUGCCAAAGCUUUCUACAACAAAUAUUCCAACAACUUUGACAUCAACCGCUUCCACAGAAGUAUCACAUCUCGAUGAACAUCUCUUUGGGAUAGAUUCGGCUGUUGAAGAGAUAUAUCAACAACUAAGCACGGAUUCAAAUGAUGUUCGUGCUAUUAGUAUUUGUGGGAUGGACGGAAUUGGGAAAACUACAACUGCCAAAGCUUUCUACAAGAAAUAUCCCAAUAAAUUUGAUCUACAAAAGUAUUACACCUUGAUGAACAUCUAUUUGGGAUAGAUGUAACUUUUGAAGAGAUAUAUCAAAAACUAAGCAUGGAUUCAAAUGAUGUUCAUGCUAUUGGUAUUUGUGGGAUUGGAAAAAACUACAACUAUCAAAGCUUUCUACAACAACUUAGAUAUCAUCUGCUUCAUUGAAAGUGCAUACUAUAUUCUGGAUGAGGUAGUCCCCUGCUUCGGUUUAUCGUGCAAAUCUUGAUUGAACUUCUCAGAAGUAUGGAUCAUAAGGUCUCUAAUGUUAAAAGCAGGAUAAGGCAGUUGAGGAAAUACUUUGCUGUAAAAAAGCUCUAAUUGUUUUGUAGGAUUUAGAUCAAUGAAGCUAUUCAGAAUUACUAGUAAGGCUUUGCAACUUGUUUUCCGCUGGAAAUAGAAUUAUUACAGCGACAAGAGAUAAAAACCUGGUAAAACAAUUGAAACUAGAUAUAUCACAAGUAGACAUAUACUGGGUGAAGAAAUUGGGACAAGAAGAAUACUAGUAUUUUUUUCUUGAAACUACGAAUGUCUAAUAAGUAAAUAUUAUGCUUAAGGUUAUGCUUGAAUAAAUAAGCACCAUGAAGAUGCUAAGAUAUGUUGGUGUCUUGUUAGAAGAUUUUCAUAUACAAAACCUUGUCACACUUGACAUGCCGUUUAGCAAAUUCAAAAUCUUGUGGAGAAGUCCCAAGGUAUGAAACAGAGAAAUUCUUUUACUAUGUCAUCUUUCUGGAAAGAAUCCUAAAGUUAAUAUGUAAAGAAACAAUAGUAGAGCUAAUACAGAAAAGUGGUGGUGCUUGAAAUAAUUUGAAUGUGCUUACUUCUAUUUUUCUAAACAGCCUAUGAAGCAACUGACUAAUUUGGCCCGUAGGGAUUUGAAUCGUUGUUGCAAUCUAAAAUGAUUGCCUGAGCAAUUAGGCGAUCUCAAAGGCUUAAAGAUGUUAGAUGUAAUUUAUAUUGCUAUAUAGCAGCUUACGGAUUCAUUUGCUAGACUGAGGGAACUGGUAAUUUUGAAAUUGUACAGUUGCAAUAAGCUUAGAAACUUACCUGAGAAAUGUAGGUACAUGGAAAGCUUAUAGAUAUUUGAAGCAACUGAGAGUGCAUUUAGCAACUGCCUAAUUCAUUCGGAGACUUGAUUAAUUUGGUCGAUCUCUGAUUGUCUGAAUGUCAGAAGCUUACAGGCCCUCCAAAUAGCACAUGAAAUUUAAAAUUGCUUAAAGUACUAGAUCUGCACUUGUGUACAAAGCUGGAGAGAUUCCUGAACAAUUGGGGCAGAUGCAAUGCUUAGAAAAGCUUAAUGCAUCGUUUACAGGAAUACAAGAAUUUCCAGAUUGUAUUGGACUGCUGAGUAGGUUACAGGUGUUGGAAUUAAGAUCCUGCAACAAGCUUAGAUAUUUGCCUGAGAGCAUCGGGAAUUUUACAUCACUUGCACAUUUAUAUCUUGGGACACCUUUGAAAUUAGUUUUCCUGAUACGGUAAAAAAUAUGAAGCUGGAAUAUCUUGGUCUGAGAUGUAAUCUACGAUUAGGCUGCCUACGAUUCUAAGUUUCUCUUAUUUGAAAGAGUUAACUCUUGGUGAUGAGGGCC
Molecule: long non-coding RNA, 1960 nt
Filed under: Daucus carota (carrot)
Lineage: Eukaryota; Viridiplantae; Streptophyta; Magnoliopsida; Apiales; Apiaceae
Description: long non-coding RNA (DCAR_LNC001648)
Source: RNAcentral